Non-coding RNA from Pimephales promelas (fathead minnow), 191 nucleotides. The record is from RefSeq and is a predicted model, not a curated record. Lineage: Eukaryota; Metazoa; Chordata; Actinopteri; Cypriniformes; Leuciscidae.
CAAGAAGGAAGAAAUUAUCAUGGCUGACCUCCUCGAGUCCUGGCUGGGGAACGUUCUGUUUCAUGCUCAACUGCCCGCUGACGAUCAUCUCUCCAGCGUGACACGUUAACUUGAUCAGCGAUCAUGAGUGAUGUCACGGACAAGAGGUGGUGACCAUAGACCUGCAUUAUAUGACUGACAGACAAGAACGG